AAUCAGAAUUUGGAGUUAAGAGGAUGCAGGGAGAGUGGUAGACAAACGGAAACAAGUGUUACCAUAGCAAUCUAUUAGAGGGCAAACUAAGCCACCAGGAGUCUCUCAAGAACAAACAAACAAACAAACAAAUGUUAUGAAUGACUUUUGGCUUAAAUGUCAUGUAGACUAAGACUGGAGGCGCAAUGGAGAAGGAGGGAAAACUGAGAGCUGAUAGAAGCAAAAUGAAGGAUAGGAGUGAGCAUCCCCUAAGAUGGACAAGGUGCCUUCAUUUCCUAAUGGUUUCUCCUCUUCUUUUCUUUGAACCUACCAAUGUGUGGUUAUUUUCCUUGCAAUAUUGUGUUGUAAGAUAUCCUUCCAAUUUAGAAACAGAAAGGGUAGUAAUUGCCUCAUGUUAGAAUAUUUAGCUAUAGAAUAAUAGGAAUCAAAAUUAUUUUAGACAUCAAAGAGUAUGGAAAAUCAAAGAUAAUCUGAGGCAGCAAGACACAAAUCCCAUUUGUCAAUUCUGCCAUUUGGUGAUCAUGAUGGUAGUGAUUUGAGAUAUGUCUAGCUAAGUACCAAGCACUGUUUUAAGUAUUUACAUAUAUUGUUCUCUCAAAAACUCUGACGUGUAGGUAGAAUUAUUAGCCUCAUUUUACACAUAAGAGAGCUAAAGUAUACAAAGAAUAAGUAAUGGAGCCAGGAUUCAAAUUUCCUAAUUCAACAUCAAAGCCUAAAUUCCUGAAAGUGCAAGUCUCUCACAAACUUCAGGAAUUCCACAGCAUACCAGAAAUCUUAAGUUUUAGGGUGGUUCGAAACCUUAUAAAUCCCUUUGAGUCAAAAAUUUCUCUUUUUUUCCAGAUCCUGUUAAACGUCAGUGUUACUAUUUAGCCUUUGAUAUCUCCAGUAAAGGCAACUUCUUUCUGGACCCAGAAAUAAAGCUUUACAUUAGCAGCUUCCAUAACACCAAUAACAUGAAUGACCAUCUACUGAGCAAUUGCAGUGCACCAGGAUUAUGGCUUAUGAGCACUUUAUGUUUAUUAUCUCACAACUCACUGAGUUAGAUACUCUCCACAACCCAGUGAGCCUCUCAAGCACUGUGAAAAAUCACUUUCUCUUGUUGUAUUCUUGGAGCCCCUGCUAAUUCAUUAUUGAAAAAUACCUGCUGCCUGCAUUUGGCCUUAUGUUGUCAUUUACUUGGUACUUCCUAAGCGUGGCUACUCCAAUGAAGCUUUAGUAUAUGUACUGAAAGAAGAUCCUCUCAUACUGCCACAGCCAAGAGAUAAGGUUGUAAAUCUUUAUUGGGAGAAGCCGUCAAGGACAGUUCUGUGAAAUGAAAGGAUCUCUGGAUCACCACAAAGUCUGGCUCAGUGACUAUGGCUUUGCAAACACUAAACAUUCCUGUCUCAAGUCCUGUAGAUGGCUUGAAAUAGUAUACAUAAGCAUGCCUUAUAAACAUCUUCAGUCUUUAUCAACUCUUUGGAGAUUCAGCCAUUCUUUUUUGUACUUUAGGGAAUUAAAUCAUUUUAUAAUGUAUAAAUCUGAGCAUGGCCGAUGGCAGAAGAAAUUUUGUCAUACGUUUUUAAAGAAAUAAAAAUGUAUUAUGUUUUAAAA
This 1593-nucleotide long non-coding RNA is filed under the name Homo sapiens (human). RNAcentral describes it as "HSALNT0294247". The record is from RNAcentral. Lineage: Eukaryota; Metazoa; Chordata; Mammalia; Primates; Hominidae.